CCUAUGGGUGGCAGCAGUGAGGAAUAUUGGUCAAUGGGCGUGAGCCUGAACCAGCCAAGUCGCGUGAGGGAAGAAGGUACUGAGUAUUGUAAACCUCUUUUGCCAGGGGACAAAGGCGGCCACGGGUGGCCGUAAGAGGGUACCUGGAGAAAAAGCAUCGGCUAACUCCGUGCCAGCAGCCGCGGUAAUACGGAGGAUGCGAGCGUUAUCCGGAUUUAUUGGGUUUAAAGGGUGCGCAGGCGGCGUGUCAAGUCAGCGGUAAAAUGUCGGGGCUCAACCCCGGCCGGCCGUUGAAACGGGCGGGAUUGAGUGGGGGAGAAGUAUGCGGAAUGCGUGGGGUAGCGGUGAAAUGCAGAGAUAUCACGAAGAACGCCGAUUGCGAAGGCAGCAUACCGGCUCCACACUGACGCUGAGGCACGAAAGCGUGGGUAUCGAACAGGAUUAGAUACCCUGGUAGUC
This 459-nucleotide ribosomal RNA is filed under the name uncultured bacterium. RNAcentral's name for it is "partial 16S ribosomal RNA". It matches the Rfam family "Bacterial small subunit ribosomal RNA", at positions 338 to 795 of the family's 1533-position model. The record is from RNAcentral.